This is a transfer RNA of Camelus ferus (Wild Bactrian camel), 72 nucleotides long. It matches the Rfam family "tRNA". From Rfam's summary of the family: Transfer RNA (tRNA) molecules are approximately 80 nucleotides in length. Their secondary structure includes four short double-helical elements and three loops (D, anti-codon, and T loops). Further hydrogen bonds mediate the characteristic L-shaped molecular structure. tRNAs have two regions of fundamental functional importance: the anti-codon, which is responsible for specific mRNA codon recognition, and the 3' end, to which the tRNAs corresponding amino acid is attached (by aminoacyl-tRNA synthetases). tRNAs cope with the degeneracy of the genetic code in two manners: having more than one tRNA (with a specific anti-codon) for a particular amino acid; and 'wobble' base-pairing, i.e. permitting non-standard base-pairing at the 3rd anti-codon position. The record is from Rfam. Lineage: Eukaryota; Metazoa; Chordata; Mammalia; Artiodactyla; Camelidae.
AGAGAAAUAGCUCAGUGGUAGAGGGUAUGCUUAGCAUGCAUGAGGUCCUGGGUUCAACCCCCACUGCCUCCA